GACGAACGCUGGCGGCGUGCCUAAUACAUGCAAGUAGAACGCUGAAGCGAGGAGCUUGCUCUUCUUGGAUGAGUUGCGAACGGGUGAGUAACGCGUAGGUAACCUGCCUUGUAGCGGGGGAUAACUAUUGGAAACGAUAGCUAAUACCGCAUAACAAUGGAUGACACAUGUCCUUUAUUUGAAAGGGGCAAUUGCUCCACUACAAGAUGGACCUGCGUUGUAUUAGCUAGUAGGUGAGGUAAUGGCUCACCUAGGCGACGAUACAUAGCCGACCUGAGAGGGUGAUCGGCCACACUGGGACUGAGACACGGCCCAGACUCCUACGGGAGGCAGCAGUAGGGAAUCUUCGGCAAUGGGGGCAACCCUGACCGAGCAACGCCGCGUGAGUGAAGAAGGUUGUCGGAUCGUAAAGCUCUGUUGUAAGUCAAGAACGGGUGUGAGAGUGGAAAGUUCACACUGUGACGGUAGCUUACCAGAAAGGGACGGCUAACUACGUG
Molecule: ribosomal RNA, 497 nt
Filed under: uncultured bacterium
Lineage: Bacteria
Description: partial 16S ribosomal RNA
Rfam family: Bacterial small subunit ribosomal RNA
Source: RNAcentral